Molecule: ribosomal RNA, 495 nt
Filed under: uncultured bacterium
Lineage: Bacteria
Description: partial 16S ribosomal RNA
Rfam family: Bacterial small subunit ribosomal RNA
Source: RNAcentral
UGAACGCUGGCGGCGUGCCUCAUACAUGCAAGUCGAGCGAACAGACGCGGAGCUUGCUCCUCUGACGUUAGCGGCGGACGGGUGAGUAACACGUGGAUAACCUACCUAUAAGACUGGGAUAACUUCGGGAAACCGGAGCUAAUACCGGAUAAUAUAUUGAACCGCAUGGUUCAAUAGUGAAAGACGGUUUUGCUGUCACUUAUAGAUGGAUCCGCGCCGCAUUAGCUAGUUGGUAAGGUAACGGCUUACCAAGGCAACGAUGCGUAGCCGACCUGAGAGGGUGAUCGGCCACACUGGAACUGAGACACGGUCCAGACUCCUACGGGAGGCAGCAGUAGGGAAUCUUCCGCAAUGGGCGAAAGCCUGACGGAGCAACGCCGCGUGAGUGAUGAAGGUCUUCGGAUCGUAAAACUCUGUUAUUAGGGAAGAACAAAUGUGUAAGUAACUAUGCACGUCUUGACGGUACCUAAUCAGAAAGCCACGGCUAACUACGUG